Molecule: ribosomal RNA, 306 nt
Filed under: uncultured Thermovirga sp.
Lineage: Bacteria; Thermotogati; Synergistota; Synergistia; Synergistales; Thermovirgaceae
Description: bacterial SSU rRNA
Rfam family: Bacterial small subunit ribosomal RNA
Source: RNAcentral
GUUAAGUCCCCGCAACGAGCGCAACCCCUGCAUCCAGUUGCCAUCGGGCGAGCCGGGCACUCUGGAGGGACUGCCGGCGACAAGCCGGAGGAAGGUGGGGAUGACGUCAAGUCAUCAUGGCCCUUAUGUCCAGGGCGACACACGUGCUACAAUGGCCGGCACAGCGGGAAGCGGAGGGGCGACCCUGAGCGGAUCCCUUGAAAGCCGGUCCCAGUUCGGAUUGCAGUCUGCAACUCGACUGCAUGAAGUUGGAAUCGCUAGUAAUCGCGGAUCAGCCAAGCCGCGGUGAAUACGUUCCCGGGCCUU